AGGACGAACGCUGGCGGCGCGCUUAACACAUGCAAGUCGAGCGAGAACCCACCUUCGGGUGGGGGAAAGCGGCGAACGGGUGAGUAACACGUGGGCAACCCACCCUUGGUAUCGGGAUAGCCCGGGGAAACCCGGAUUAAUACCGGAUGGCCCAGCAGCUCUUCGGGGCGGCUGGAAAAGGUAGCUUCGGCCUCCGACCAAGGACGGGCCCGCGGCGGAUUAGCUUGUUGGUGGGGUAACGGCCUACCAAGGCGACGAUCCGUAGCUGGUCUGAGAGGACGAUCAGCCACACUGGGACUGAGACACGGCCCAGACUCCUACGGGAGGCAGCAGUGGGGAAUCUUGCGCAAUGGGCGAAAGCCUGACGCAGCGACGCCGCGUGGGGGAAGAAGGUUUUCGGAUCGUAAACUGCUUUUCUCUGGGACGAGAACGGACGGUACCAGAGGAAUAAGCCCGGCUAACUACGUGCCAGCAGCCGC
Molecule: ribosomal RNA, 479 nt
Filed under: uncultured bacterium
Lineage: Bacteria
Description: SSU rRNA
Rfam family: Bacterial small subunit ribosomal RNA
Source: RNAcentral